RNAcentral lists this ribosomal RNA (566 nucleotides) under uncultured bacterium. RNAcentral's name for it is "bacterial SSU rRNA". It matches the Rfam family "Bacterial small subunit ribosomal RNA", at positions 67 to 627 of the family's 1533-position model. The record is from RNAcentral.
CGGCAGCACGGGUGCUUGCACCUGGUGGCGAGUGGCGGACGGGUGAGUAAUGCAUCGGAACAUGCCCACUUGUGGGGGAUAACGCACCGAAAGGUGUGCUAAUACCGCAUAAGCCCUGAGGGGGAAAGCAGGGGAUCUUCGGACCUUGCGCAGGUGGAGUGGCCGAUGUCGGAUUAGCUAGUUGGUGAGGUAACGGCUCACCAAGGCGACGAUCCGUAGCUGGUCUGAGAGGAUGAUCAGCCACACUGGAACUGAGAACGGUCCAGACUCCUACGGGAGGCAGCAGUGGGGAAUUUUGGACAAUGGGGGCAACCCUGAUCCAGCCAUGCCGCGUGAGUGAAGAAGGCCUUCGGGUUGUAAAGCUCUUUCGGCCGGGAAGAAAUCGUGCAGGCUAAUACCCUGUAUGGAUGACGGUACCGGAAUAAGAAGCACCGGCUAACUACGUGCCAGCAGCCGCGGUAAUACGUAGGGUGCGAGCGUUAAUCGGAAUUACUGGGCGUAAAGCGUGCGCAGGCGGUUUUGUAAGACAGGCGUGAAAUCCCCGGGCUCAACCUGGGCAUGGCGCU